AGAGUUUGAUCCUGGCUCAGGACGAACGCUGGCGGCGCGCCUAACACAUGCAAGUCGAACGAGCGAGAGAGAGCUUGCUUUCUCGAGCGAGUGGCGAACGGGUGAGUAACGCGUGAGGAACCUGCCUCAAAGAGGGGGACAACAGUUGGAAACGACUGCUAAUACCGCAUAAGCCCACAGGUCGGCAUCGACCAGAGGGAAAAGGAGCAAUCCGCUUUGAGAUGGCCUCGCGUCCGAUUAGCUAGUUGGUGAGGUAACGGCCCACCAAGGCAACGAUCGGUAGCCGGACUGAGAGGUUGAACGGCCACAUUGGGACUGAGACACGGCCCAGACUCCUACGGGAGGCAGCAGUGGGGAAUAUUGCACAA
Molecule: ribosomal RNA, 368 nt
Filed under: Faecalibacterium duncaniae
Lineage: Bacteria; Bacillati; Bacillota; Clostridia; Eubacteriales; Oscillospiraceae
Description: bacterial SSU rRNA
Rfam family: Bacterial small subunit ribosomal RNA
Source: RNAcentral